Molecule: long non-coding RNA, 3032 nt
Organism: Meriones unguiculatus (Mongolian gerbil)
Lineage: Eukaryota; Metazoa; Chordata; Mammalia; Rodentia; Muridae
Exons: 2
Source: RefSeq, a predicted model, not a curated record
GCUUGUUUGAGGCCGGGUCCCUCAUUUGCUGCCUCGUGUGCCAGGCUAGGGGAUUCCGAGAGCUUCCGGAAUUCUUAUGUCUCCGAGUUCGUCGCAGGAGCACGGGACUGAGGACACACGUCGCCGUGUCGACUUCGCCUGGGUUCUGCGGAUCGGCACUCAGGCCUUCGAAUGAGUGCCCUCGGUUGCUGAAUGUGUGAUCAGCCGCAGAUUUCUCAUUCUUUAAAACCCGGGGAGCGGAAAUGGCAGCCUGAAGCCGGCGGCACACAGCUUAGCUCGCCGAGGUGCUGAAAUCAGGCUGUGAGGAAUGCUGGCCUUUGGGCCUCCCGAGGGCCGCCUGCGGAGCCCGGGUGGGGGAGCUUCUCUGUAAACCAGGACGGUGGCAAUCAAUGAGACAAUCUUCUCUCAUUCUUUUACUUAACUCAGAGAAUUGGUUUGCGGCCAGGAGCGGCUGGCAUCUGGUGGAGAGAAUGCGCCUGGAGGGGUUGGAAAGAGGGACCUGAAGGCCCGGGAAGAGCUCCUGCAGGCUUGGAGGUGGAGAGGGUCAGCUGCGUUCUCCACGCCCUGACCCUGUUUUGUACCCUGACUUUGGGAAUUGCCGGUUGGGUUUCUCCAGUGCUCCGAGGUUUAGAUUCAGCCCUGGAGGUUUCAGGGGGAAACAGGCCCCGAUUCUGCCCUUUGCCAGGCUUGAAGUCAGCGUGGUGGGUACAGAGGCAUCCUCCGCCUGUGUUUGGCUACCCUGUGAGGUCCUGCCUGGGAGCAAUGGCCUCAGCCUGGGCUUCCUCGGAGCAGCGGCUCAGACCUGCAGACCCAGUGGCCUGUGUGUGGCUGUGGGCAGGGGUGUUGGGAGCAGACGGUAGACAGGCACAGGGCUGGCUCUGUCCAGACUGGCAGUCCUUUCCCUACUCAACCUCAACACUUACCUGUUUUGUUUUUUAAGAAACAAUCCUACUGGGAUCCAAGAAGGGACUGGAGUCUCGUUCAAAGUGACCCUCCUAGCCCAUAAUUCUGCCAGCUUCAGAAUGGACCCGGCCUCCUGUCAGAAUCUAUCCAGAUGGCUGGCACGGACAUGGGGCAGGGACCGUGUUCCACCUUGUUCUCCCGGCUUCUCUUACCACAGGACUUUGUCUUCUCUUCGAUAAGAUCUGUAGGAUGUCUCCGGGCCUGUGUAGAGGGGCUGGCCUCUGAGAGCCACGGUGGCCAGGAUCCACUCACCCGGCCUGCUGGCUGAUGAAUGGCCAUAGGCCCCAGAGGUCUCAGAAGAAUUUGAGGGAGAACACAUGACAGCAAUCACUCGCAUUGACUGAGCGCUUUCUGCGCGCCAGACAUGGCUCUGCAUGCCCCUUAAAGAUUCCUGCUAAUAUCAAAAAGCCUAUUGAUGUCUACAGGUUUUCUCAGAUUGGGGAAAGGCCACAGCAGUUUGGUUUUUGGGUCAGAGAAGGAGAUGAUUUGAGGGAACGUAAUGGCUUCCUCAGAACAGACCUCUCAUCUCAGAGGUAACCAGCUGGGAAAUGCCGAGAUAGAGCUGACCUCGUGGCAGCUGCUCAGCCGCCUUCAUGCCCCCGCUCCCGCCCUUGGUUCGGAACCUGAGGGGCUGAUGGCUUCUCAGAGAAGGAGCAGUAAUUGGUGCCAUCAGACAGGCUCUGGUGACUGGUUCUCGCUGGCGGGUGUGAUCUUAGGAAAGGCCUUGUUCCUAGGCCCUCGAACUCCUCCUCCUCCUCUGGAAAGCUGAACUCGGUGUAACAGUUAGCUCUUGCUGUGUAACAAACACCCAGAGACUGUACGUUGACAAACAGAAGCACAUGUUGGCCUUGCUAGGCUAGGCGCACUCCACUGCUGAGGCUGUGGUCGGCUUCCGGUCUUCUGGGAGCUGCUUGGCCUGCAAUUACUCAGCCUCACUCUGUCUGAUCUUGAACUUCUUUCCAAGACAGAGUCCGUGAGAACAGAGAGAGGCACUCGUGGUCCCUUGAAGACCCAGGCUCAGAACAGCACACGGCCGUGCCCCGUGCCUGCUGGGGGUCAAGGCAAGCAACAAGGCCAGUCUAGACAUGAGCAUGAGCAUGCUGAUUCUGCCUGUUGACAGGACCAGCUGCUAAGUCACGUGCCCAAGGCUAUGGGCAUGGGAGGGAGGGGUGGAGAAUCAGGAAGGUUGCGGGCGAGCAGCCACCUCCCUUCCCACCCGAGCAUCACCGUGGCCAUAGCUCUCGGGGCACAGGUGUAUAUACAUACACACGCGUGGCACAUGUGAUCACACAUGUGUGCCCCCCAACACACACAAGCGUCACAUGUGCUCACGCCAGACUCAAACAGUUCACACACCAGGAAGAGAGGAAGGAGCCGGCUCCUUGGGACAGGGACAGGAGCUCCCUGGGAUUUGGGGUAAGUUACAAGGUACAGGGUUGUUGGUGGUGCGCCCAGCUCCAUCUGACGAGCGGCCAGACCCAGAAGCCAAGUUCUGCCCUCGGCUGGCCCUCUGCGUGUGUGGGCACCCCCACAUGCCAGGGUCAGAACUGAGCCAGGCGUGGCAAUCGCUGGGCUGCGGCCCUCGGGGGACCAUGCAGAGGGCGAGGCUGGGCACACCCCAGACCCCUGUGUGUUCUCCCUGGGCCACAUGCCGGGCAGACCUGCAAGCUGCUGGCUGGCCGGUGCCCACAGGCCUCCAUCCCUGGGCAGCAGGCGACAGGGGGGAGGCGGGUGACCAGAGCCAGCGUCCUCGUGACUGCUCCCCGUCCCGGGCGCCAGGCUCCUCGUGCGCUUCAAGCAACUGGCUCCCAGAGGAAGUUAAAUCAGCUUCCCACGGCCCCUCCUCAAAUAGACACCCAGCUGGCAUUCUCCCUUAAAUACCACUCAUUUUUAAAAGGGGGAGAAAUGUUGAUGGCACCGAAAGAGAUCACACGUUAAAAUGCAGAGCGGCGGCGAGUCGGCUCAGAUUAUUCUCUUAAUAGAGUUCCUCGGAGUGGGAAAGUGACGCGGGAGCAUAAUUGCGUCUUUUGUCAUUUGGGCAAAAAAAAAAAAAAAAAAAAAACCAAAAA